RNAcentral lists this ribosomal RNA (256 nucleotides) under uncultured archaeon. Its description in RNAcentral is "partial 16S ribosomal RNA". It matches the Rfam family "Bacterial small subunit ribosomal RNA", at positions 521 to 776 of the family's 1533-position model. The record is from RNAcentral.
UAAUACGUAGGUGGCAAGCGUUGUCCGGAAUUAUUGGGCGUAAAGCGCGCGCAGGCGGUCCUUUAAGUCUGAUGUGAAAGCCCACGGCUCAACCGUGGAAGGUCAUUGGAAACUGGAGGACUUGAGUAUAAGAGAGGAAAGUGGAAUUCCACGUGUAGCGGUGAAAUGCGUAGAGAUGUGGAGGAACACCAGUGGCGAAGGCGACUUUCUGGCUUAUUACUGACGCUGAGGCGCGAAAGCGUGGGGAGCAAACAGG